Molecule: long non-coding RNA, 1541 nt
Filed under: Hordeum vulgare
Lineage: Eukaryota; Viridiplantae; Streptophyta; Magnoliopsida; Poales; Poaceae
Description: long non-coding RNA (HVUL_LNC008366)
Source: RNAcentral
GCCAAUGACGAGCCAGUGCGCCGACGUUGUCCGGUCUUGUCCUUAGCAUGUGGAAGAGGAUGUCGGGCAAAUGGCCUCCUCUUAUCACUGUCCUCAUCUCAAUGAGAGGAAGAUAAGGCACAGAGACGCGCUCGGCCGCCUGAACACCAACUCUGGAUCCAGAGCCGCCCUCUACAAUCUCACUGAAUCCAGCCAUCUCUCCGGUGAGGCAGCGACCAUCCCUUCGUCACAGUCUGAAUAUAGCCUCCGUCGGCGAUGGUAGACGAAAUCCGAAGGCCUCCAACUCGAAUGCUCUGACCCAGACAUCCAAGGUGAGCCUCCAGUUCCUGCAAGGUACCUAAAGGUCAGGACAUACGCACAACACUUCAGUGGUGCAGUCUGGACAACAAGAAUAACCAGAAUUGUGUCACGCCACAUUCAGAUGAUGGUUCAGAUGCAGAUAAUGGCUGGUAAAGUGGACCACUUCUAUGUGAUCAAUAUGGAAACAAUAUGGUGCUUAUAAACAUUAUUAGCAAUUUUUUCAGGUAUAAGCAUUCGGCUGAACUUACCCUGAUGUGACUAUUUAAAACAUGCAGGCUCACCUGUUUAUGUCCUUAGCAUUGAAGGGUGGAGGCACGAAUACUUUGGAUCACAAGAGACAGCAUUGGAAUUAUGGAAUUUGAAUGGAUUGAGUACAUCAAGAUGAAGAAAUUAACGUAAUAAGCGAUAUUCUCAAAAGAUUCGGUCAUGCCAGAAACCUCAGUGUGCAUGGCACUAAAAAAGGGUACAAAGAACCUGAGAUGCAAGUAAUGGCUGAAUAGCCGGGGAAACACUAAAUAAAGACGUUAAUUCGCAUCAUCCUGUUGUGUAGGGGCCUCGCCGAUGAUCAAAGUCAGCUGCCAAGGUGGAUCAUUGGAGACCAGAAGUUGCAGUGUCAUCGGUGUUGUAUAGUAGCUUGGUUGACGACGGCCAAUGGAUUGUACAUAUUGGUUCAUUUUGUGUAUACAAUACAAGGUGCUCAUUGUAAAAAAAAUAUUCAUCCAUUUUUUGUGGGCAACAAAAAAUGAAUAUUUUUUGUUGGCCUAUGUUUUUUCAGAUAGAGGAGGCCUUUGUUAAUGGAUAUAGGAUUGGGCAACAUACACAUGGGUUCAGCCGGUAAAUCAAGGUUGAGAAGGUUGUAGCAUGUGCUGCUGCUUGCUUGUUGUGUGCGGGAUGUAUUGUUCUUGUAAUUUUAAUUUUUUCAUAGUUCAUACAUGUAAUUAACUAAUUAUAUUCAUUUUCAGGUUUAAAGAUUAUUUGCAGGAAUGAGAAAUAUAAUGUCUACUUGUACUUGAAUACUCAGCGAUAGAGAAAACAAUAUACUCUUAUUUCUUCUGUCCAUGUUAUGUUUUCUCCUAUAACUAUCAUGCUUGUUACACAGGUCUGAAUUCCUAAAGGUUCAGGAGGAUCUCACUAUUGCAAAACUAAAGAGAUAAGGAUUAGUACUAUAACAUUGUAGAAAAAGGUUAGCCCUGUCUUCUUGAAGAACAAGGCGACUCAAUUUCACCUCCAUUGACGAUUGU